CGGCAUGGCUAAGUCUACACAUGCAAGUCGAGCGGUAACAUUUCAAAAGCUUGCUUUUGAAGAUGACGAGCGGCGGACGGGUGAGUAAUGCCUGGGAAUUUGCCCAUUUGUGGGGGAUAACAGUUGGAAACGACUGCUAAUACCGCAUACGCCCUACGGGGGAAAGCAGGGGACCUUCGGGCCUUGCGCUGAUGGAUAAGCCCAGGUGGGAUUAGCUAGUAGGUGAGGUAAAGGCUCACCUAGGCGACGAUCCCUAGCUGGUCUGAGAGGAUGAUCAGCCACACUGGGACUGAGACACGGCCCAGACUCCUACGGGAGGCAGCAGUGGGGAAUAUUGCACAAUGGGGGAAACCCUGAUGCAGCCAUGCCGCGUGUGUGAAGAAGGCCUUCGGGUUGUAAAGCACUUUCAGCGAGGAGGAAAGGUUGUAAGUUAAUAACUUCCAUCUGUGACGUUACUCGCAGAAGAAGCACCGGCUAACUCCGUGCCAGCAGCCGCGGUAAUACGGAGGGUGCGAGCGUUAAUCGGAAUUACUGGGCGUAAAGCGUGCGCAGGCGGUUUGUUAAGCGAGAUGUGAAAGCCCCGGGCUCAACCUGGGAACCGCAUUUCGAACUGGCAAACUAGAGUCUUGUAGAGGGGGGUAGAAUUCCAGGUGUAGCGGUGAAAUGCGUAGAGAUCUGGAGGAAUACCGGUGGCGAAGGCGGCCCCCUGGACAAAGACUGACGCUCAGGCACGAAAGCGUGGGGAGCAAACAGGAUUAGAUACCCUGGUAGUCCACGCCGUAAACGAUGUCUACUCGGAGUUUGGUGUCUUGAACACUGGGCUCUCAAGCUAACGCAUUAAGUAGACCGCCUGGGGAGUACGGCCGCAAGGUUAAAACUCAAAUGAAUUGACGGGGGCCCGCACAAGCGGUGGAGCAUGUGGUUUAAUUCGAUGCAACGCGAAGAACCUUACCUACUCUUGACAUCCACAGAAUCUGGUAGAGAUACCUCAGUGCCUUCGGGACUGUGAGACAGUGCUGCAUGCUGUCGUCAGCUCGUGUGUGAAAUGUGGUAGUCCCGCACGAGCGCACCCUAUCUACUGCAGCGGGUAUGCGGGACUUAGAGACUGCGUGAUAACCGAGAGUGGACGACGUCAGUCAUCAUGGUCUUACCAUAGCUACACACCGUGUCUCAAUGUCAGUACAAGUGCAGCCCGGAGUGACAUAUUCCAAUAAAGCUGC
RNAcentral lists this ribosomal RNA (1220 nucleotides) under Shewanella algae. RNAcentral's name for it is "bacterial SSU rRNA". It matches the Rfam family "Bacterial small subunit ribosomal RNA", at positions 40 to 1285 of the family's 1533-position model. The record is from RNAcentral. Lineage: Bacteria; Pseudomonadati; Pseudomonadota; Gammaproteobacteria; Alteromonadales; Shewanellaceae.